GGAAUAUUGGACAAUGGGCGAAAGCCUGAUCCAGCCAUGCCGCGUGUGUGAAGAAGGUCUUCGGAUUGUAAAGCACUUUAAGUUGGGAGGAAGGGCAUUAACCUAAUACGUUAGUGUUUUGACGUUACCGACAGAAUCAGCACCUGCUAACUCUGUGCCAGCAGCCGCGGUAAUACAAAUGCUGCAAGCGUUAAUCGGUAUUACUGGGCGUAAAGCGCGCGUAGGUGGGUCGUUAAGUUGGAUGUGAAAUCCCCGGGCUCAACCUGGGAACUGCAUUCAAAACUGUCGAGCUAGAGUAUGGUAGAGGGUGGUGGAAUUUCCUGUGUAGCGGUGAAAUGCGUAGAUAUAGGAAGGAACACCAGUGGCGAAGGCGACCACCUGGACUGAUACUGACACUGAGGUGCGAAAGCGUGGGGAGCAAAC
RNAcentral lists this ribosomal RNA (423 nucleotides) under uncultured bacterium. RNAcentral's name for it is "bacterial SSU rRNA". It matches the Rfam family "Bacterial small subunit ribosomal RNA", at positions 358 to 773 of the family's 1533-position model. The record is from RNAcentral.